Ictalurus punctatus (channel catfish) is the source of this 903-nucleotide long non-coding RNA. The record is from Ensembl. Lineage: Eukaryota; Metazoa; Chordata; Actinopteri; Siluriformes; Ictaluridae.
AUUGAUUGUUUUGUUUUGUUUAUUCAUUGUCGUGUGUAUUUAGUGUUUUGUAUUUAUAGUUCUGUGUAUUUAUUGUCCUUUCUAUUUAUUGUAUUGCCCUGUGUGUUUAUUGUUUUGUCCUGUGUAUUUAUUUUGUUGUGUUUAUUCAUUGUCGUGUGUAUUUAUUGUCCUAUGUAUUUAUUGUUUUGUCGUGUGUUUAUUGUUUUGUCUCGUGUGUUUGUUUGUCCUGUGUAUUUAUUGUUUUGUCCUGUGUAUUUAUUGUCCUUUCUAUUUAUUGUUUUGUCUUGUUCUUUUAUUGUCCUGUGUAUUUAUUGUUUUGUUUAUUUAUUGUCCUGUGUAUUUAUUGUCCUGUCUAUUUAGUGUAUUGUCCUGUGUAUUUAUUGUUUUGUCCUGUGUAUUUAUUGUUUUGUCCUUUCUAUUUAUUGUUUUGUCCUGUGUAUUUAUUGUUUUGUCCUUUCUAUUUAUUGUUUUGUCCUGUGUAUUUAUUGUCCUUUCUAUUUAUUGUUUUGUCUUGUUCUUUUAUUGUCCUGUGUAUUUAUUGUUUUGUUUAUUUAUUGUCCUGUAUAUUUAUUGUCCUGUGUAUUUAUUGUCCUGUCUAUUUAGUGUAUUGUCCUGUGUAUUUAUUGUUUUGUCCUGUGUAUUUAUUGUUUUGUCCUGUGUAUUUAUUGUUUUGUCCUGUUUUUGUCCUGUGUAUUUAUUGUUUUGUCCUGUGUAUUUAUUGUCCUGUGUAUUUGUUUUGUCCUGUGUAUUUAUUGUCCUGUGUAUUUAUUGUCCUGUGUAUUUAUUGUAUUGUCCUGUGUAUUUGUUUUGUCCUGUGUAUUUAUUGUCCUGUGUAUUUAUUGUAUUGUCCUGUGUAUUUAUUGUCCUGUGUAUUUGUUUUGUUCUGUGUGUUUAUUGUUUUGU